This 467-nucleotide ribosomal RNA is filed under the name uncultured bacterium. RNAcentral's name for it is "partial 16S ribosomal RNA". It matches the Rfam family "Bacterial small subunit ribosomal RNA", at positions 28 to 507 of the family's 1533-position model. The record is from RNAcentral.
GAUGAACGCUGGCGGCGUGCUUAACACAUGCAAGUCGAACGGAAAGGCCCAAGCUUGCUUGGGUACUCGAGUGGCGAACGGGUGAGUAACACGUGGGUGAUCUGCCCUGCACUUCGGGAUAAGCCUGGGAAACUGGGUCUAAUACCGGAUAGGACCACUUCUUGGAUGUUGUGGUGGAAAGUUUUUUCGGUGUGGGAUGAGCUCGCGGCCUAUCAGCUUGUUGGUGGGGUAAUGGCCUACCAAGGCGUCGACGGGUAGCCGGCCUGAGAGGGUGUACGGCCACAUUGGGACUGAGAGACGGCCCAGACUCCGACUGGAGGCAGAAGGGGGGAAUAGUGCACAAGGGGCGCAAGCCGGAUGCAGCGACGCCGCGUGGGGGAUGACGGCCUUCGGGUUGUAAACUCCUUUCGCGAGGGACGAAGCGUUUUGUGACGGUACCUGGAGAAGAAGCACCGGCUAACUACGUG